GAUGAAGAACGCAGCGAAAUGCGAUAAGUAAUGUGAAUUGCAGAAUUCAGUGAAUCAUCGAAUCUUUGAACGCACAUUGCGCCCGCCAGUAUUCUGGCGGGCAUGCCUGUUCGAGCGUCAUUACAACCCUCAGGCCCCCGGGCCUGGCGUUGGGGAUCGGCGGAGCCCCCCGUGGGCACACGCCGUCCCCCAAAUACAGUGGCGGUCCCGCCGCAGCUUCCAUCGCGUAGUAGCUAACACCUCGCGACUGGAGAGCGGCGCGGCCACGCCGUAAAACACCCAACUCUUCUGAAGUUGACCUCGAAUCAGGUAGGAAUACCCGCUGAACUUAAGCAUAUCAAUAAGCGGAGGAA
RNAcentral lists this unclassified non-coding RNA (353 nucleotides) under soil metagenome. RNAcentral describes it as "partial contains 5.8S ribosomal RNA, internal transcribed spacer 2, and large subunit ribosomal RNA". The stretch from base 1 to 120 matches the Rfam family "5.8S ribosomal RNA", at positions 35 to 154 of the family's 154-position model. The record is from RNAcentral.